RNAcentral lists this ribosomal RNA (260 nucleotides) under uncultured bacterium. Its description in RNAcentral is "partial 16S ribosomal RNA". It matches the Rfam family "Bacterial small subunit ribosomal RNA", at positions 793 to 1055 of the family's 1533-position model. The record is from RNAcentral.
GUCCACACAGUAAACGAUGAAUACUCGCAGUUGGCGAUAUACGGUCAGCUGCCAAGUGAAAACAAUAAGUAUUCCACCUGGGGAGUACGCCGGCAACGGUGAAACUCAAAGGAAUUGACGGGGGCCCCGCACAAGCGGAGGAACAUGUGGUUUAAUUCGAUGAUACGCGAGGAACCUUACACGGGCUUGAACUCAUCAGGGCGACGCAAGAGAUUGCGUUUUCCUUCGGGACUUGAUGAGAGGUGCUGCAUGGUUGUCGU